Molecule: ribosomal RNA, 466 nt
Filed under: uncultured bacterium
Lineage: Bacteria
Description: bacterial SSU rRNA
Rfam family: Bacterial small subunit ribosomal RNA
Source: RNAcentral
AAUGAACGCUGGCGAUAAGCUUAACACAUGCAAGUCGAACGCCUUCGGUUCAUCCGAUGGAGUGGCGAACGGGUGAGUAACGCGUGAGAACCUGCCCCACAACCCAGGAAAAAUCCUGGAUAAGAAUAAAAAGGCAUAGACGGUGGGCGCCUUAAUAAGGCCCCUCCAUCCGUUGUGGGAUGGGCUUGCGUAGGAUUAGGUUGUUGGUAAGGUAAUGGCUCUACCAAGCCCAAGAUCCUUAGCUGGUUUGAGAGGAUGAUCAGCCACACUGGGACUGAGACACGGCCCAGACGCCUUCGGGUGGCAGCAGUGAGGAAUUUUGGACAAUGGGCGAAAGCCUGAUCCAGCUAUAUCGCAUGGGUGAUGAAGGCCCAUUUGGUCGUAAAGCCUACAACUGGGGCUUAGAUUAUGACAGGGCCCUAGGGAAAAGUCCCGGCUAACUCCGUGCCAGCAGCCGCCGUAACAC